RNAcentral lists this ribosomal RNA (354 nucleotides) under Triticum aestivum (bread wheat). RNAcentral describes it as "partial small subunit ribosomal RNA". Lineage: Eukaryota; Viridiplantae; Streptophyta; Magnoliopsida; Poales; Poaceae. The record is from RNAcentral.
AUGGUGCGACAGCUAUAUCUAGCUUGUAGCAAGACUAGCUUAUGCCUCGCUGAAGGUUUCCGUGCUCUCUACAGUAAUGAGCCAGCCCGUUUCUGGCUUUCUGCAUGCUCGCUCGCUCAUUGCAUUUUCCUCAUGCCAUUUUCUCUUUUGUUUCUUUCUCAUUCUUUUUUUGUUUCUUCAUGGGUGUUUUUCAUAUAUUUUUUCAUCAUGUUUUUCGGUUUUUACAGUUUUUUCUUUCCUCUUUUUCGGUUUUUCUUUUGUUCCUUUCUCCGUUUUUUAUUUCUAUUCUAUGUUCUUUGGUUAUUUUGUUUGUUUCUUAGAUUUCAUCAGCUUCCUUCAUUUUUCUUUAGUUAA